This 197-nucleotide ribosomal RNA is filed under the name uncultured bacterium. Its description in RNAcentral is "partial 16S ribosomal RNA". It matches the Rfam family "Bacterial small subunit ribosomal RNA", at positions 328 to 539 of the family's 1533-position model. The record is from RNAcentral.
ACGCUCGACACCUACGGGAGCAGCAGUGGGGAAUAUUGCACAAUGGGGGAAACCUUGAUGCAGCGACGCCGCGUGAGUGAAGAAGUAUUUCGGUAUGUAAAGCUCUAUCAGCAGGGAAGAGAAUGACGGUACCUGACUAAGAAGCCCCGGCUAACUACGUGCCAGCAGCCGCGGUAAUCUGAGCGGGCUGGCAAGGC